Molecule: non-coding RNA, 137 nt
Organism: Ornithorhynchus anatinus (platypus)
Lineage: Eukaryota; Metazoa; Chordata; Mammalia; Monotremata; Ornithorhynchidae
Source: Rfam
CCCCUCUCAAGAUUGCACCUGGAGAGUUUCCAGUAUUCUACCAGUCUCACCUAUGGGAGGGAGAGCAAGCAGAGGCCUACCCAUUCCAUUUCUAGCUGAGGCAGGGGCUAGUGAGUGGAAGGCAAUCUGCUACAAGU